CCGCUGGCCCUGCUCAGCAGCGAGCGCUCGGCCCCCUCCCACCGCCCUCGGGGGCCUUGGCAGUGGGCUGUGCUGUCCUCGGGGCGGGUUCUCUUCGCCGGACUUUCCAUGACCUGGGGCGGGCUGGGAGCGCCAGGCAGGGGUCAGACGGGCGGUUUGGAGCCCGGUGGGCCUCACGCAGGCGCCUGCCCUUUGAGCCUCUGGUCCGCUGUCCGUCUGCAGCUCACUUUGGGUGCUCAGCUGGGACCCCCGAGACACCCGGGUGGGUCACGGGCGCCCCCCUGCACGCCCCCGUUCCCUGUGUCCCGUGGAGCUGCAGCCCACUGUCCACUUCCACCAUCGGGCCGUGGCCUCCGUGGGCUCCCAGGGGGCCUCCCUCCUUCCAUGUCCUCCAGCUCGGCCAGUGGAGGUGUCCAGGGGGCGUCUGAGCACAUGCGGUGCCCACAGUUCAGACGCCUUCUGGGCAUCGUGAUGCAGCCAGGGAAGACUGUCACCACGGAGACGAGCAGGCUACACACCACACCCGAACAGACACUGUGCACAGCUCUGCCGGCUCCUGCCACUCCUCUGAAGGGCCCCUUCAUCUUUCCAAAGGUCGCUUGUUUUCCUAUAAGUGCCCUUCUCCCUUCCCCUGUCAACUCCCCCUAAGAUGGCAGAUAAGCCCCAAAUUCUAACCACUGCUUUGAGUCACAUUUCUCUGUGAACUCCCAAGUACAUACAUACGUGAAUAAAAAUCUGUCUUUUCUCUCGCUAA
RNAcentral lists this long non-coding RNA (754 nucleotides) under Equus asinus (donkey). RNAcentral's name for it is "lncRNA (ENSEASG00005025741.1)". The record is from RNAcentral. Lineage: Eukaryota; Metazoa; Chordata; Mammalia; Perissodactyla; Equidae.